UACGUAGGGUGCGAGCGUUGUCCGGAAUUAUUGGGCGUAAAGAGCUCGUAGGCGGCUUGUCGCGUCGGAUGUGAAAGCCCGGGGCUUAACUCCGGGUCUGCAUUCGAUACGGGCAGGCUAGAGUUCGGUAGGGGAGAUCGGAAUUCCUGGUGUAGCGGUGAAAUGCGCAGAUAUCAGGAGGAACACCGGUGGCGAAGGCGGAUCUCUGGGCCGAUACUGACGCUGAGGCACGAAAGCGUGGGGAGCAAACAGG
RNAcentral lists this ribosomal RNA (253 nucleotides) under uncultured bacterium. RNAcentral's name for it is "partial 16S ribosomal RNA". It matches the Rfam family "Bacterial small subunit ribosomal RNA", at positions 524 to 776 of the family's 1533-position model. The record is from RNAcentral.